AUUGAACGCUGGCGGCAGGCCUAACACAUGCAAGUCGAGCGGAUGAAGGGAGCUUGCUCCUGGAUUCAGCGGCGGACGGGUGAGUAAUGCCUAGGAAUCUGCCUGGUAGUGGGGGAUAACGUCCGGAAACGGGCGCUAAUACCGCAUACGUCCUGAGGGAGAAAGUGGGGGAACUUCGGACCUCACGCUAUCAGAUGAGCCUAGGUCGGAUUAGCUAGUUGGUGGGGUAAAGGCCUACCAAGGCGACGAUCCGUAACUGGUCUGAGAGGAUGAUCAGUCACACUGGAACUGAGACACGGUCCAGACUCCCACGGGAGGCAGCAGUGGGGAAUAUUGGACAAUGGGCGAAAGCCUGAUCCAGCCAUGCCGCGUGUGUGAAGAAGGUCUUCGGAUUGUAAAGCACUUUAAGUUGGGAGGAAGGGCAGUAAGUUAAUACCUUGCUGUUUUGACGUUACCAACAGAAUAAGCACCGGCUAACUUCGUG
Molecule: ribosomal RNA, 484 nt
Filed under: uncultured bacterium
Lineage: Bacteria
Description: partial 16S ribosomal RNA
Rfam family: Bacterial small subunit ribosomal RNA
Source: RNAcentral